This 73-nucleotide transfer RNA is filed under the name Merluccius polli (Benguela hake). It matches the Rfam family "tRNA". From Rfam's summary of the family: Transfer RNA (tRNA) molecules are approximately 80 nucleotides in length. Lineage: Eukaryota; Metazoa; Chordata; Actinopteri; Gadiformes; Merlucciidae. The record is from Rfam by way of RNAcentral.
GUUUCUGUAGUGUAGUGGUUAUCACGUUUGCCUCACAUUCGAAAGGUCCCCGGUUCGAAACCGGGCAGAAACA